RNAcentral lists this ribosomal RNA (424 nucleotides) under Bacillus cereus. RNAcentral's name for it is "partial 23S ribosomal RNA". It matches the Rfam family "Bacterial large subunit ribosomal RNA", at positions 654 to 1075 of the family's 2925-position model. The record is from RNAcentral. Lineage: Bacteria; Bacillati; Bacillota; Bacilli; Caryophanales; Bacillaceae.
CGAAUAGGGGAGCCGAAGGGAAACCGAGUCUUAACUGGGCGUUAAGUUGCAGGGUAUAGACCCGAAACCCGGUGAUCUAGCCAUGGGCAGGUUGAAGGUUGGGUAACACUAACUGGAGGACCGAACCGACUAAUGUUGAAAAAUUAGCGGAUGACUUGUGGCUGGGGGUGAAAGGCCAAUCAAACCGGGAGAUAGCUGGUUCUCCCCGAAAGCUAUUUAGGUAGCGCCUCGUGAAUUCAUCUCCGGGGGUAGAGCACUGUUUCGGCAAGGGGGUCAUCCCGACUUACCAACCCGAUGCAAACUGCGAAUACCGGAGAAUGUUAUCACGGGAGACACACGGCGGGUGCUAACGUCCGUCGUGAAGAGGGAAACAACCCAGACCGCCAGCUAAGGUCCCAAAGUCAUGGUUAAGUGGGAAACGAUG